UACGUAGGGACCGAGCGUUGUCCGGAAUCAUUGGGCGUAAAGAGCGUGUAGGCGGCCUUUUAAGUCCUGCGUGAAAUCCUGCGGCUCAACCGCAGACGGUCGUGGGAAACUGGAAGGCUAGAGUGCGGGAGAGGAGAGUGGAAUUCCCGGUGUAGCGGUGAAAUGCGUAGAUAUUCGGAAGAACACCGGUGGCGAAAGCGACCUUCUGGGCCAUUACUGACGCUGAGGUACGAAAGCUUGGGGAGCGAACGGG
Molecule: ribosomal RNA, 253 nt
Filed under: uncultured bacterium
Lineage: Bacteria
Description: partial 16S ribosomal RNA
Rfam family: Bacterial small subunit ribosomal RNA
Source: RNAcentral